RNAcentral lists this unclassified non-coding RNA (3541 nucleotides) under Drosophila ananassae. RNAcentral describes it as "GF13810". The record is from RNAcentral. Lineage: Eukaryota; Metazoa; Arthropoda; Insecta; Diptera; Drosophilidae.
AAACCUCAAAUAUGUCGACUGAGCUGCUCCUCCUGGUCGCCACUUUGGCGAUCGUUUUCUAUAUUUGGCAGAGGCGAGCCUUCAGCUUCUGGCAGCGCCAUGGAGUCAAGUACAUUCGACCCCUGCCCUUUCUGGGCUGCACCCGAGAGUUCCUAACGGCCCGAGUUCCAUUCUUCGAGCAAAUAAAAAAGUUCCAUGAGGCCCCCGGCUUCGAAAAGGAGCCCUUUGUGGGCGUCUAUUUGGCCUACAAGCCGGCCCUGGUCGUUCGCGACCUAGACCUGAUAAAGACGGUGAUGAUCAAGAAGUUCCAGUACUUCCACAACCGCGUCCUGCAAACGGAUCCGCACAACGAUGCCCUCGGCUUCAACAAUCUCUUCUUCGCCCGCAGCCCAGAGUGGAAGGAGCUGCGCCACAAGAUCUCCCCCGUGUUCACUUCUGGGAAGAUUAAGCAGAUGUAUCCUCUAAUGGUCAAGAUCGGCAAGGACCUUGAGAGCAGUGCCGAGAGACUGGCCGGUGCGUCACCGGUUCCGAUUAAGGAUCUGUGCGCCCGCUUCACCACCGACCUGAUUGCUACCAUUGCCUUCGGCGUGGAGGCCAACGCGUUAAAGGAUGCGAAGAGCGAGUUCUUCUACCACAACCAGGCCAUCUUUGCUUUGACAUGGAGCAGGGCCAUCGACUUCACCAUUAUCUUUAUGCUGCCUGCCCUGGUGUCCAUUGCACGUGUGAAGCUCUUCUCAAAGGAGACCACCAAGUUCAUCAGGAACACCAUCAACUACGUCCUGUCCGAGCGCGAACGGACGGGCGUUAAGAGAAACGACCUCGUGGACAUUCUGCUGGCUCUGAAGAGGGAGGCGGAAGCUAACCCCGAUCAGCUCCAAAAGUACAAGGACCUGGACUACCUCGUAGCCCAAGCCGCUGUCUUUCAAACGGCUGGGUUCGAGACGAGCUCAUCAACCAUGACUCUGACUCUAUACCACCUCGCCCAAAACGAGUCCCUGCAGGACCGCCUGUGUCAGGAAAUUACCGAAUACCUCGGAGACGAGGAUCACGUCAGCUACGAUCGCAUCCAGCAGAUGCCCUACCUUUCGCAGGUGGUGAAUGAGACAUUGCGAAUGUACCCCAUCGUUGGAUAUGCUGAGCGACAAUGUGCUCAGCCCGCGGAGGGCGAAAAGUUCACCCUGGAGCCGCACAGCUCCAUGGAACUACCGCACGGCAUGGCCGUAUAUGUGUCCGCCAUUGCCAUCCAUCAUGAUCCGCAGUACUGGCCGGAGCCGGAAAAGUUCGACCCGGACCGUUUCGACCCCGCCAAUCGCAGCAACCUGAACAUGGACGCAUACAUGCCCUUCGGCGUGGGUCCGCGCAACUGCAUUGGAAUGCGUCUGGGCCUUCUGCAGUCGAAACUGGGUCUGGUGCACCUGUUGCGCCACCACCGGGUCCACGCGACCGACCAGACCCCGAAGAAAAUUGAGUGGGCAGCCACUAGUCCGCUGAUCGCCUCGAAGCACGAAAUAUAUUUGCGGCUGGAAAAGGUGUCUAGUUAGAGGAUAGCCGGAAGAUUUGAACUCGGAUGCACAAUCCGGGAUGAGUGUAGAUGGUUUCCAAACCCAGGGAACCAGACUAGUAGGAGGUGUUCGAUCUCCAAAGUCCAUCUUAAGGCCCAUCGGAUGUUCUGCAAGAGCAAAAAUGCCAUGGCUUCAAAUAAAACUAGUAACUAGGCAGGGGAAGUUGUAUUUGUUUUCCGUAUAUUUUCAUUUCUCAGCGCAUUACAAGAUCUUCGUGUUCGUCUCUUCUACUAAGUUGUGUAUAUAGAGUUCAAUAAUAUAUGUAUAUAAUUCUUUUGAUUACAUUAGUUACAUGGUAAGCAACAGGGCUGCUGUUCCGUGUGUUUGUGUCUCUCUGGUGUGUGGGAUUGGAUAUCCUUUUGGGAUCCUGGCCAGAACUGAAUCUAAAACCAAUCUGGCCAUUCAUCGAAAUAAGUUAGGUUUAGCAAUACAUUUUGUGGUAUACACUUGUAUAUAUAUGUAUGUGGUAUGGUUAUGUACGUACGCCUGUUAAAUGCCAUACUCUCUGCAAUUAAUUAAAGCGGUUGCAAUAUUAACAUUACGAAUUAUGGUUAUGAUAUCGAAUAUAUAUGUAUCUUGCACUGUAAACUGCUCUAUUUACAAACGCAUGUCUGGAUAAUCUGAUAGGGAGGGUCGCUGGUCGCUCCUAAGGACCGACCUCGAAAUGGAACUCGAAAGGUAAAUGAAUGAAACUCGAUUCCCGGAGCUGUGCUUAUCCUAAACAGACUGUAUCCGAAUUUAGCAAAAUAUGUGUGUGUUAGCCUACGGUUGGUUGCUUUCCCCUUGUAUCCUUUUCCUCUGUGUACUACGCGUAUGUAUAUAUGUACUCCCUUGUGUGUUUCGGUUCCGAUUGCUCGGAUCCCUUUGGUUUAUUUGUUAUUUGUUCAUUUCAGAAAACUUUUCUCGAAAAAUUCAUUGUGUUCUAUGCUUGCAAAAAUUUGAGGUAGUUUUAUUUUAUUUGAAUUUCCUUCCCUUCUCGUUAUUUUUGUGUUCUUUGAUAUUUAUCCUGCUUAAUUUUCGAUUUUUAAUUUUUAGUCGUUCCUAAUAUUGGAAAAUCGACCGCAUCGAAGGCAUCACACGACGAACCGAAUGGAAGAUUCAGCUGAGAUUGUUCAUCAGCCACUUUCCUAAAAGAUAUUGCUUCAGAUUAUGCUUUCGAGCUGCGAUCGGGACCUACAAAAUGUCCUACAAAUCCUCCGCCAACUCGAGUCUCUUCAAAAUACUUUCGGUAGAUACAUACAUAUACUUGAUUCUGGCUUAGCAGCUAAUCUAAUGGGCCACAGAGACCUUCUAAUUUAGACAACACUCAGAUAUACUUGAUAUAAACACUUCUUAGCGAGCUACUACUGUUGCAACACAGGGAACCUAUUCGCAGCAAAUGGGAGAGUCUAGUCUAGUGUGGGGCGAAGCGCUUUCCAUUCUGCACUUAUGUAACUAUCAGUCGUUCUUAACAACUGUGUUCUGUUGUUCCAUUACAUUUGGCAGUGUCGAGUUUUCAUCUUAUUUGUUUUAUUAUUAGUCGUAUCUCGGCUCAUAAGGGGGUUACUUACUUUAAACUUAUGCAUAGGUUCAUUGGCAUAGGAAAUUAUGAAGUACGGUUAGGUUUAAGGCGAAUUUAGCUUAUAUGCUGGGGGACUCGGAUUCGGAUUCGGAUUCUGAUUCUGAUUCGGGAUAUGUAUGCAAAUCAGAAGCGAAAGCCAAACCAGUCGGGUGUUUCGGCUUCUGCUCCUGCCGGCAGAUACAAACAAAAGGGAAGAACAAGUGGUUUGCGUUCAUUUCUGAUUCUCUUCGAUAACUUUAUUUUGCAUAGUUCCUUGGGGUUUGUGGUUGCCUUGGCUAAGUUAUAAAUGAAUAGUUAAUUACUUUUGGGCGCGUCCCUUUCACACUAUCUACAGAGCACGAGGCGCUCUAGGGGUCUAGAGCUCCCGAAAACGUAAUGGGCAGCCGUCAAAUGGUCGUCAAGUGGCGCAGUUCGCACU